Molecule: ribosomal RNA, 472 nt
Filed under: uncultured bacterium
Lineage: Bacteria
Description: partial 16S ribosomal RNA
Rfam family: Bacterial small subunit ribosomal RNA
Source: RNAcentral
GACGAACGCUGGCGGCGUGCUUAACACAUGCAAGUCGAACGAUGAAGCGGUGCUUGCACCGUGGAUUAGUGGCGAACGGGUGAGUAAUACGUGAGUGACCUACCUUUGACUCUGGGAUAAGCCUGGGAAACUGGGUCUAAUACCGGAUACGACCAAUCUCUGCAUGGGGUGUUGGUGGAAAGCGUUAUGGAGUGGUUUUAGAUGGGCUCACGGCCUAUCAGCUUGUUGGUGAGGUAAUGGCUUACCAAGGCGACGACGGGUAGCCGGCCUGAGAGGGUGACCGGGCACCACGGGGGGGGAGCCCGGCCCGGGCCCCCGGGGGGGGGAGGGGGGGGGAAAUAUGGAAAAAGGGGAGAAGCCCGGAGCCAGCGGCCCGGGGGGGGGAAGGGGGCCUUGGGGUUGGAAACCUUUGUUGAGCAGCGAAAAACGAAAGGGGAGGGGGGGUGAAAAGAGGCCGCGGCCAAACUCGGUC